CCUACGGGGGGCUGUAGUGGGGAAUAUUGGACAAUGGGCGAAAGCCUGAUCCAGCCAUGCCGCGUGUGUGAAGAAGGCCUUCGGGUUGUAAAGCACUUUCAGUGGGGAAGAAAGCCUUGGGGCUAAUACCCUCGAGGAAGGACAUCACCCACAGAAGAAGCACCGGCUAACUCCGUGCCAGCAGCCGCGGUAAUACGGAGGGUGCGAGCGUUAAUCGGAAUUACUGGGCGUAAAGCGCGCGUAGGCGGUCUGAUAAGCCGGUUGUGAAAGCCCCGGGCUCAACCUGGGAACGGCAUCCGGAACUGUCAGGCUAGAGUGCAGGAGAGGAAGGUAGAAUUCCCGGUGUAGCGGUGAAAUGCGUAGAGAUCGGGAGGAAUACCAGUGGCGAAGGCGGCCUUCUGGACUGACACUGACGCUGAGGUGCGAAAGCGUGGGUAGCAAACAGGAUUAGAUACCUAGUGUC
This 463-nucleotide ribosomal RNA is filed under the name Vreelandella stevensii. Its description in RNAcentral is "partial 16S ribosomal RNA". It matches the Rfam family "Bacterial small subunit ribosomal RNA", at positions 338 to 795 of the family's 1533-position model. Lineage: Bacteria; Pseudomonadati; Pseudomonadota; Gammaproteobacteria; Oceanospirillales; Halomonadaceae. The record is from RNAcentral.